GCGUUUCAAUUUAUUGGUUUUCAAAUCCUCAAUUUCUUUAGGAAUGCCCGGAAAUCCGCCUCCAGAGAAGGAUGAUUGAGGUGCUUGAUUGCGGCGAGGAGAAAUGCCCCUUGAAGUUGAACGCCUAAAAGGAGAUGUCUGACUUAUCAUUAGCCGGUCGCUUGCAUAUGAGAACCUAUUGGAUCCACAACUUAGCUUGUUCUCAANCCCAACCAGCCUAGGCGAUUGAACUUCAUUUUCUAGUUUUUGUUUAUAAACAGCAUCCUUGGCAGG
This 273-nucleotide unclassified non-coding RNA is filed under the name Hevea brasiliensis (rubber tree). The record is from RNAcentral. Lineage: Eukaryota; Viridiplantae; Streptophyta; Magnoliopsida; Malpighiales; Euphorbiaceae.